AAAGAACUGUUGUUUUCUCUGCAAACUGUCCCUUGCAAUACUGACAUCUCUAACUUUCUUACAGAAUUUUAAGGUUAUGCAGAAAUGUACCUUCUUGUUGUCUUCUCUGAUUGCUAUUUCUUUUCAUUAAAACACAUCUCCCCCCUCCAAAAAACAACAACAACCCCACUUUAAAAAAGAAUGUCCCUGCCUCUACUGAGAACACAAAACAAGCCAGCUCCAAGGGCUAAAAAUAGACUGUUCCAUUCGGAAUGCAAACUAUUCAGUCUUCAAAACUAUUUAUACAGUGUGAAUUAAUUGCAGAUGGCCAAUUCGUAUAGCAAGGUCCCAGCAACCGAUAAGAAAAGUGCUACUACCUUCGCCGGAUUGAAACCAGGAAAGUCCAGAAAAAGCAAACACAAUUUUUAGAAUCAUAGAAUUGGAAGAUGCCACAAGGGCCAUCCAGUCAACCACCUGCUCUGCUCUUCCAUCACUAAAGGGAAAAAAUUUGUGAUGAAAGAAACACCGAAGAGGAGGAUGAAGAAAAAGGGGGCGCCAUGUCAUGGAACUAAGUCCCAGGGCUGAAUUUCCAAGCCCUGGACUUGGAGUCAUAACAUAAAUAAUCCUGGAUGUCUCAUGGAAGCACCUGGCAGAAGAAGAUAGAAGAGCCUGGGAACUCGGGGUUGAAAGUAUAAACAAUUAUAAUUGGUAGAGUGUGUGGGGAUAGUAGAAAUGUGAUACAGGUGGUGGGAUUUGGUGAUGAUAUUUACGUGUGGUGUGACGUUGCAACAAAGGUGAUAAAAAUGAUUGUAUGUAAACAUUAGGUCAUUCUCGACUUUUCCAAAGUCAUGUAUUCUUCAAUAAAGAUUGGGUUUGAGAGCAGCUGUCUUUGAUCUGCGUUCAGACUGGUCCUUUGAAGUGAGCCUGACAGAAGGAGAUGAAUAAGUUCCUGAGCAAGAUCUGAUUUUGGUAGUUAAGCAAAGUCAGCACUGGUCAGCCCAGGCAUGGGCAAACUUUGGCUCUCCAGGUGUUUUGGAUUUCAACUCCCACAAUCCCUAAAUGCUUGCCGGCUGUUAGGAAUUGUGGGAGUUCAUAUGGUGGUCCUGUAAUACAGUUCAAGAAUUCUGGAUAAAAGUGGUCAAAGAAACAAACAAUAUGAUAACCAAAAAGGUCAAGAAAAACCCGGAAAUGUGCUUAUUAGGUUUAUUUAGAAGGCGUAUUAGCGCAGGAGAUGAAGAAAUUUGCCAAUAUGGUUUUGUUGCAGCAAGACUAAUAAUAGCUAAAACAUGGAAGGGGGAAGAAAAGCUAGGUAUUAAAGACUGGAGAGAUAAACUGGGGGAAUAUAUCCAAAUGGCCAAGCUGACAAAUAGUAACAGAGGAGGAAAUAAUGAGGGUUUUGUAAACAAAUGGAGGCUGGCACUUGGGUAUCUGGAAAAGAAGACAAAGGUAGAUUUGAUGACUGACAUAAAGGGGAUUUAGCGAAAGAAGAUAUGUGGGUAGUUGAUGGUUAGUUACGUGAUACUUACUGAGGGGUAUCGGAGGUCUAGGGGGUUGGGUUCACGGGUGAGGGGUUUGGGGGACAAGGAUAAGUUAAGGUAUAACAACGGUACAGCCACUCUGUGAAUAUCCAUUAGUUUAACAAGCGCUGGCUGUACACUACAGUGCAAAUCUUUAUAUCUUUCUGUAUUUUUUUCUUUUUUUAUAUGUGUGUAUUUUAUUUUACUUCUUGUUUUUCACUUUCAUGAUUGUCUGUUAUAAUUUCUAAAAUAAUAAAAAAAAACUUUUAAAAAAAGGAAUUGUGGGAGUUGAAGUCCAAAACACCUGAAGGGCCGAAGUUUGCUCAUGCCUGGGUUAGCCCUUGGAUGGGAGAAUAUCAAGGACAGCCAGACUAUAUUGCAGACAAAGGGACUGGCAAAACAGUCGAGUACGAGAAAACCCUAUAAAAUUUAUGUGGUCACCCUAAGUUGGUAGUAUAAGUCAGUCCUGGGCUAUUCAAUAAAGUGACAAUGUUAGGGUCACAGGUCUGCAUUUUCUCAAGAUGUUUUUGUUGUCAUGAGUUAAGAUGUUCUGGGGGACAUCCAUGUAGGCAGGAGAAUUAGAAACUAAAUUAAAAUGUGGACAUUAUGCCAUGUAUAGUUUUAUUUAUCUGUCCCCACCCCCAUCCAUCUGUCAGCUCUGGUCAAAGGAUUCCAUGAGGUUGAUAUGAAAAUAGUAAGAAUUUGGGAAACCUCUUUACUUGAGGAAACUGUUGAAUGAUACACAAACACAUUGUUUACUCUUUAAGUAUCCCUCAAUGUAUUGAAAGAAAAGUUGCCUUAUUUUCAGAGAGCUGGUCACAAAGUAUUGGAUAUUUGCAAAUAGUUUUGUUAUUUGUUGAGACAAAGUAAUUCUGUGUUACCAAGCCAAAAUAACUUACAGGACAUAACUUACAGGACAAAAUAACUUACAGUCUACUUAGAACUAUCAAUGCAACUCAUUCCUAGGCAAAUGUGUUUAGGAGAAAUUAAAACAUUUACUAAUUAAAAUAUUUUAUAAUUAUUUCAUAUAUUAAAGAAACAUAAAGGAUGAUAGAUAUGUUGGCCUACAUUCAUGUAACAAAUGGAUGGAAGGGGAAAAUAUAGCACUUAUUAUGGAAAAAUCUUUAACAUAUCCAAAAUUGAUAGGAUGUCCCAAAUGUUCCUAAUAAAAAUAUCAUUUAAAAUUA
Anolis carolinensis (green anole) is the source of this 2683-nucleotide long non-coding RNA. RefSeq lists it as uncharacterized. The record is from RefSeq and is a predicted model, not a curated record. NCBI's taxonomy places the organism in Eukaryota, Metazoa, Chordata, Lepidosauria, Squamata, Anolidae. The transcript has 3 exons.